RNAcentral lists this ribosomal RNA (546 nucleotides) under uncultured bacterium. RNAcentral describes it as "bacterial SSU rRNA". It matches the Rfam family "Bacterial small subunit ribosomal RNA", at positions 359 to 917 of the family's 1533-position model. The record is from RNAcentral.
GGGAUUUGCACAAUGGGCGCAGCCUGUGCAGCGACGCCGCGUGAGGGAUGACGGCCUUCGGGUUGUAAACCUCUUUCAGCAGGGAAGAAGCGCAAGUGACGGUACCUGCAGAAGAAGCACCGGCUAACUACGUGCCAGCAGCCGCGGUAAUACGUAGGGUGCGAGCGUUGUCCGGAAUUAUUGGGCGUAAAGAGCUUGUAGGUGGUUUGUCGCGUCUGCUGUGAAAAUCCGGGGCUCAACCCCGGACUUGCAGUGGGUACGGGCAGACUAGAGUGUGGUAGGGGAGACUGGAAUUCCUGGUGUAGCGGUGGAAUGCGCAGAUAUCAGGAGGAACACCGAUGGCGAAGGCAGGUCUCUGGGCCAUUACUGACACUGAGAAGCGAAAGCAUGGGGAGCGAACAGGAUUAGAUACCCUGGUAGUCCAUGCCGUAAACGUUGGGAACUAGGUGUGGGUCUCAUUCCACGAGAUCCGUGCCGCAGCUAACGCAUUAAGUUCCCCGCCUGGGGAGUACGGCCGCAAGGCUAAAACUCAAAGAAAUUGACGGA